UACGAAGGGGGCUAGCGUUGCUCGGAAUCACUGGGCGUAAAGCGCACGUAGGCGGCUUUCUAAGUCAGGGGUGAAAUCCUGGAGCUCAACUCCAGAACUGCCUUUGAUACUGGAGAGCUUGAGUCCGGAAGAGGUGAGUGGAACUCCGAGUGUAGAGGUGAAAUUCGUAGAUAUUCGGAAGAACACCAGUGGCGAAGGCGGCUCACUGGUCCGGUACUGACGCUGAUGUGCGAAAGCGUGGGGAGCGAACAGG
RNAcentral lists this ribosomal RNA (253 nucleotides) under uncultured bacterium. Its description in RNAcentral is "partial 16S ribosomal RNA". It matches the Rfam family "Bacterial small subunit ribosomal RNA", at positions 524 to 776 of the family's 1533-position model. The record is from RNAcentral.